Molecule: long non-coding RNA, 3746 nt
Organism: Atta colombica
Lineage: Eukaryota; Metazoa; Arthropoda; Insecta; Hymenoptera; Formicidae
Exons: 5
Source: RefSeq, a predicted model, not a curated record
GGGAGUACAUCCUGUCAUUUUAACGUUGGAAAAGUUUGCACUGUUCCUUGUCUUCGAAUCGAUUGAUUUUCUCCAGAUUUUAAUCUCUGUUAAAUAUAAAACGACGUUGGAAAAAUUCGCAGCCCUGUCUUCGAAUCGAUUGUGACUUUUCCAUACAGUAACAUUUUUAAAUUUCUGCUGAAUAUAAAACGAUGAGAAACGAAAGGAUUGUUCAUCGUUGGAUUUCUUUACUAAGAUGAUUGGCUCCAAAUGAGUGCUGUUGCGACUUAUUGAAUUGAUGCUGUCACAAAUCAAACAAUGGGAAGAAAAGAGAGAUGAAAAGCAGACUUGAUAAUUUGUGAGAAGGAGAAGGAGGAGGAAGAAGAGGAGGAGAAAGAGAAAGGGGCUCAGGAAAAGCAAUGGAUCAACUUUGCGAAUCAUGAAAUCACAUAACUGAUAACUCAACUGCUGCGCAUCAAUCGGUCUUUCUUCUUCUUUUGUGAUAUGCGCAGCCACCUCGGCUGCGAUCAAGUCAUUAAUCAAUUAGUAAAGGUGCAAUAAAAUAUAAUGGAGACGGCUUUAUACUGAGAGAUCAGUCGCUUUCUCAUGGCAACAAACGGUGCGUUUCUUCAGAACAUUUCCGGGUUUUACUCUAAACUUGUGUAAAUUUGGGAUACGAUCCGGUAGUAAGAUCGUUGCAAUAUGUGCCUAAUUCUCGUCACGUUUACCGGUCUGUCGAACUUGUCUCGUAAGACUAGCGUCUAGGAAGCCGAUAAGCCGAAUUAACCAUGAUUAACGCACGAGGGAUGUGGGCAAUAGCGCCCCAGAAAGUGGAUUGCCUCACGUCGCGUCUAUCAGCCGCGUGAUUUGCACACUUGAUGUGACACAGACUACUGUGGUUCACAGAGUAUUGUGGUUAUGAAGGCCUCGUCGACGUUAGACACGCGUUAAUGUGACUCGAGAAGCCGGCCAUAUUCGCAACGAUUUCACUGCCGGUCCCGCGUCGCACGUAGCAAAGCGCCACUUCGCGCAAUCCGCACCGUUUCUUGCAUUGGCCAUGGAUAUGCAGCAACCGAGACAUAAAUGAUUCUCGAAACAUUUAGAAGAUUUCUGUAAAGAUAAAUUGAGAUAUGCGAUGAGUGGAAUUUAUUGAAGAAAAAAAAUCAAGAAGAACAAUUGUAGAAGAAGUAUUGUGUUAGGAGUAGAGUCUUGACGCAUUGAGAAAAAGAAAAAAUGAAAAGCUGAAAUAAAAAAAUAAUAAAUAUUAGCGGUCGUACAUUUAGCCAUCUUCAAAGAUCCAAUUUUAAUUUAUCCUUUACACGUCCCUUUAUUAAUUUCCGUUGUGUAGUGGCUCUUCCGUACCGGCUCUCUCAAUAUCUUAUUCCUUUCGAAAAUUUUCAUUAAUUUUUCGUGUGUCAUUUAACAUUUCUGUUACAGCUUUCUCAUGGCAACAAACGGUGCGUUUCUUCAGAACAUUUCCGGGUUUUACUCUAAACUUGUGUAAAUUUGGGAUACGAUCCGGUAGUAAGAUCGUUGCAAUAUGUGCCUAAUUCUCGUCACGUUUACCGGUCUGUCGAACUUGUCUCGUAAGACUAGCGUCUAGGAAGCCGAUAAGCCGAAUUAACCAUGAUUAACGCACGAGGGAUGUGGGCAAUAGCGCCCCAGAAAGUGGAUUGCCUCACGUCGCGUCUAUCAGCCGCGUGAUUUGCACACUUGAUGUGACACAGACUACUGUGGUUCACAGAGUAUUGUGGUUAUGAAGGCCUCGUCGACGUUAGACACGCGUUAAUGUGACUCGAGAAGCCGGCCAUAUUCGCAACGAUUUCACUGCCGGUCCCGCGUCGCACGUAGCAAAGCGCCACUUCGCGCAAUCCGCACCGUUUCUUGCAUUGGCCAUGGAUAUGCAGCAACCGAGACAUAAAUGAUUCUCGAAACAUUUAGAAGAUUUCUGUAAAGAUAAAUUGAGAUAUGCGAUGAGUGGAAUUUAUUGAAGAAAAAAAAUCAAGAAGAACAAUUGUAGAAGAAGUAUUGUGUUAGGAGUAGAGUCUUGACGCAUUGAGAAAAAGAAAAAAUGAAAAGCUGAAAUAAAAAAAUAAUAAAUAUUAGCGGUCGUACAUUUAGCCAUCUUCAAAGAUCCAAUUUUAAUUUAUCCUUUACACGUCCCUUUAUUAAUUUCCGUUGUGUAGUGGCUCUUCCGUACCGGCUCUCUCAAUAUCUUAUUCCUUUCGAAAAUUUUCAUUAAUUUUUCGUGUGUCAUUUAACAUUUCUGUUACAGCUUUCUCAUGGCAACAAACGGUGCGUUUCUUCAGAACAUUUCCGGGUUUUACUCUAAACUUGUGUAAAUUUGGGAUACGAUCCGGUAGUAAGAUCGUUGCAAUAUGUGCCUAAUUCUCGUCACGUUUACCGGUCUGUCGAACUUGUCUCGUAAGACUAGCGUCUAGGAAGCCGAUAAGCCGAAUUAACCAUGAUUAACGCACGAGGGAUGUGGGCAAUAGCGCCCCAGAAAGUGGAUUGCCUCACGUCGCGUCUAUCAGCCGCGUGAUUUGCACACUUGAUGUGACACAGACUACUGUGGUUCACAGAGUAUUGUGGUUAUGAAGGCCUCGUCGACGUUAGACACGCGUUAAUGUGACUCGAGAAGCCGGCCAUAUUCGCAACGAUUUCACUGCCGGUCCCGCGUCGCACGUAGCAAAGCGCCACUUCGCGCAAUCCGCACCGUUUCUUGCAUUGGCCAUGGAUAUGCAGCAACCGAGACAUAAAUGAUUCUCGAAACAUUUAGAAGAUUUCUGUAAAGAUAAAUUGAGAUAUGCGAUGAGUGGAAUUUAUUGAAGAAAAAAAAUCAAGAAGAACAAUUGUAGAAGAAGUAUUGUGUUAGGAGUAGAGUCUUGACGCAUUGAGAAAAAGAAAAAAUGAAAAGCUGAAAUAAAAAAAUAAUAAAUAUUAGCGGUCGUACAUUUAGCCAUCUUCAAAGAUCCAAUUUUAAUUUAUCCUUUACACGUCCCUUUAUUAAUUUCCGUUGUGUAGUGGCUCUUCCGUACCGGCUCUCUCAAUAUCUUAUUCCUUUCGAAAAUUUUCAUUAAUUUUUCGUGUGUCAUUUAACAUUUCUGUUACAGCUUUCUCAUGGCAACAAACGGUGCGUUUCUUCAGAACAUUUCCGGGUUUUACUCUAAACUUGUGUAAAUUUGGGAUACGAUCCGGUAGUAAGAUCGUUGCAAUAUGUGCCUAAUUCUCGUCACGUUUACCGGUCUGUCUCGUAAGACUAUCUGUCGAACUUGUCUCGUAAGACUAGCGUCUAGGAAGCCGAUAAGCCGAAUUAACCAUGAUUAACGCACGAGGGAUGUGGGCAAUAGCGCCCCAGAAAGUGGAUUGCCUCACGUCGCGUCUAUCAGCCGCGUGAUUUGCACACUUGAUGUGACACAGACUACUGUGGUUCACAGAGUAUUGUGGUUAUGAAGGCCUCGUCGACGUUAUACACGCGUUAAUGUGACUCUAGAAGCCGGCCAUAUUCGCAACGAUUUCACUGCCGGUCCCGCGUCGCACGUAGCAAAUCGCCACUUCGCGCAAUCCGCACCGUUUCUUGCAUUUGCCAUGGAUAUGCAGCAAUAUAAAUGAUCCUCGAAUCAUUUAGAAGAUUUCGGUGAAGAGAUAUUGAGAUAUGCGAUGGAAUUUAUUGUAGAAGUAAAAUGAAAGGGAAAGAUUGUAGAAAAAAUAUCAGGAGUAGAGUCCUGACGCAUUGGGAAAAAAUAAAACUAAAUAACGCUGGAAUA